RNAcentral lists this ribosomal RNA (791 nucleotides) under uncultured bacterium. Its description in RNAcentral is "bacterial SSU rRNA". It matches the Rfam family "Bacterial small subunit ribosomal RNA", at positions 8 to 796 of the family's 1533-position model. The record is from RNAcentral.
AGAGUUUGAUCCUGGCUCAGAUUGAACGCUGGCGGCAUGCCUUACACAUGCAAGUCGAACGGCAGCGCGGGGCAACCUGGCGGCGAGUGGCGAACGGGUGAGUAAUAUAUCGGAACGUACCCUGGAGUGGGGGAUAACGUAGCGAAAGUUACGCUAAUACCGCAUACGAUCUAAGGAUGAAAGUGGGGGAUCGCAAGACCUCAUGCUCCUGGAGCGGCCGAUAUCUGAUUAGCUAGUUGGUGGGGUAAAGGCCUACCAAGGCAUCGAUCAGUAGCUGGUCUGAGAGGACGACCAGCCACACUGGAACUGAGACACGGUCCAGACUCCUACGGGAGGCAGCAGUGGGGAAUUUUGGACAAUGGGCGAAAGCCUGAUCCAGCAAUGCCGCGUGAGUGAAGAAGGCCUUCGGGUUGUAAAGCUCUUUUGUCAGGGAAGAAACGGUGAGAGCUAAUAUCUCUUGCUAAUGACGGUACCUGAAGAAUAAGCACCGGCUAACUACGUGCCAGCAGCCGCGGUAAUACGUAGGGUGCAAGCGUUAAUCGGAAUUACUGGGCGUAAAGCGUGCGCAGGCGGUUUUGUAAGUCUGUCGUGAAAUCCCCGGGCUCAACCUGGGAAUUGCGAUGGAGACUGCAAGGCUAGAAUCUGGCAGAGGGGGGUAGAAUUCCACGUGUAGCAGUGAAAUGCGUAGAGAUGUGGAGGAACACCGAUGGCGAAGGCAGCCCCCUGGGUCAAGAUUGACGCUCAUGCACGAAAGCGUGGGGAGCAAACAGGAUUAGAUACCCUGGUAGUCG